AUGUGUACAUCCGCAGAGAGCGCAGCGAGUCCGUCGUUAGAUAGAGACGUUGGGCAGUUCAGUGGACCUGCCCAGCUUGAGGGCGAAUCCGUCCCGACGUUAUCUGUUUUCAUAGGAUGGAGAGCAGCGUGGAAGAUGACACCUAUUCUACACUCCAUAGCAAAAAUGAUGAAAAAGAAGAUGAACCAUCAUCACCCCUUCAGUCUCC
Molecule: non-coding RNA, 208 nt
Organism: Poecilia reticulata (guppy)
Lineage: Eukaryota; Metazoa; Chordata; Actinopteri; Cyprinodontiformes; Poeciliidae
Source: RefSeq, a predicted model, not a curated record